AUGCGAGUCGAUGGGAUACCUAAAUUUCCAUGGCGAACUGCUCAGUAACACGUGAUCAACUUACCCUGUGGAGAGAAAUAACUUCGGGAAACUGAAGAUAAUUUCUCAUAAUUGAAAAUGCUUGGAAAGGUUUUUCAAUAAAAGAACAUUUCAAACGGGAAAUUAUGCCGCAGGAUAGGAUCGCGUCCGAUUAUGGCAGUUGGUGAGGUAAUGGCUCACCAAACCUAUUAUCGGUAAGGGCCGUGAGAGCGGAAGCCCUGAGAUGGGUACUGAGACAAUGACCCAGGUCUUACGAGACGCAGCAGGCGCGAAACCUUCACAAUGCACGAAAGUGAGAUGAGGUUACCCGGAGUGCUACAAAGUAGCUGUGGCAGGUGAGUAAGAUUCCCUGCUAGGAAGGAGAGGGCAAGGCUGGUGCCAGCCGCCGCGGUAAAACCAGCUCUUCAAGUGGUCGGGAUUAUUAUUGGGCUUAAAGUGUUCGUAGCCUGUUUAGUAAGUUCCUGGUUAAAUCGGAUAGCUUAACUAUCUGUCUGCUAGGAAUACUACUAUACUAGGGGGCGGGAGAGGUCUGAGGUACUCCAGGGGUAGCGGUGAAAUGCUAUAAUCCUUAGGGGACCACCAGUGGCGAAGGCGUCAGACUGGAACGCGCCCGACGGUGAGGGACGAAAGCCAGGGGAGCGAACCGGAUUAGAUACCCGGGUAGUCCUGGCUGUAAACGAUGCGUGCUAGGUGUUGGUAUAGCUAUGAGCCGUAUCAGUGCCGUAGGAAAACCGAUAAGCGCGCCGCCUGGGGAGUACGGUCGCAAGGCUGAAACUUAAAGGAAUUGGCGGGCGAGCACCACAAGGGGUGAAGCCUGCGGUUCAAUUGGAUUCAACGCCGGAA
This 882-nucleotide ribosomal RNA is filed under the name uncultured crenarchaeote. RNAcentral describes it as "bacterial SSU rRNA". It matches the Rfam family "Archaeal small subunit ribosomal RNA", at positions 51 to 923 of the family's 1478-position model. The record is from RNAcentral. Lineage: Archaea; Thermoproteati; Thermoproteota.